RNAcentral lists this ribosomal RNA (253 nucleotides) under uncultured bacterium. RNAcentral describes it as "partial 16S ribosomal RNA". It matches the Rfam family "Bacterial small subunit ribosomal RNA", at positions 524 to 776 of the family's 1533-position model. The record is from RNAcentral.
UACGUAGGUGGCAAGCGUUGUCCGGAAUUAUUGGGCGUAAAGCGCGCGCAGGCGGUCCUUUAAGUCUGAUGUGAAAGCCCACGGCUCAACCGUGGAGGGUCAUUGGAAACUGGGGGACUUGAGUGCAGGAGAGAAGAGUGGAAUUCCACGUGUAGCGGUGAAAUGCGUAGAGAUGUGGAGGAACACCAGUGGCGAAGGCGACUUCCUGGACCAAUACUGACGCUCAUGUGCGAAAGCGUGGGGAGCAAACAGG